RNAcentral lists this ribosomal RNA (481 nucleotides) under uncultured bacterium. RNAcentral describes it as "partial 16S ribosomal RNA". It matches the Rfam family "Bacterial small subunit ribosomal RNA", at positions 28 to 523 of the family's 1533-position model. The record is from RNAcentral.
GACGAACGCUGGCGGCGUGCUUAACACAUGCAAGUCGAGCGAUGAAGUUUUUUCGGAAAUGGAUUAGCGGCGAACGGGUGAGGAACACGUGAAGAAUCUGCCCUCCACUUUGGGAUAACACAGGGAAACCUGUGCUAAUACAGAAUAUUGAAACAUAAGUGGCAUCACUGAGUUUUGAAAGAAUUUCGGUGGAGGAUGACGUCGCGGCCUAUCAGCUAGUUGGUGAGGUAAUGGCUCACCAAGGCAACGACGGGUAGCCGGCCUGAGAGGGCGACCGGCCACACUGGGACUGAGACACGGCCCAGACUCCUACGGGAGGCAGCAGUGGGGAAUAUUGGGCAAUGGAGGAAACUCUGACCCAGCGACGCCGCGCGCGGGAUGAAGGCCUUCGGGUUGUAAACCGCUUUCAGUAGGGAAGAAGCGAAAGUGACGGUACCUACAAAAGAAGCACCGGCUAACUAUGUGCCAGCAGCCGCCGUAA